Molecule: ribosomal RNA, 486 nt
Filed under: uncultured bacterium
Lineage: Bacteria
Description: partial 16S ribosomal RNA
Rfam family: Bacterial small subunit ribosomal RNA
Source: RNAcentral
AUUGAACGCUGGCGGCAUGCCUUACACAUGCAAGUCGAACGGCAGCACGGGUGCUUGCGCCUGGUGGCGAGUGGCGAACGAGUGAGUAAUACAUCGGAACAUGUCCUGUAGUGGGGGAUAGCCCGGCGAAAGCCGGAUUAAUACCGCAUACGAUCUACGGAUGAAAGCGGGGGACCUUCGGGCCUCGCGCUAUAGGGUUGGCCGAUGGCUGAUUAGCUAGUUGGUGGGGUAAAGGCCUACCAAGGCGACGAUCAGUAGCUGGUCUGAGAGGACGACCAGCCACACUGGGACUGAGACACGGCCCAGACUCCUACGGGAGGCAGCAGUGGGGAAUUUUGGACAAUGGGCGAAAGCCUGAUCCAGCAAUGCCGCGUGUGUGAAGAAGGCCUUCGGGUUGUAAAGCACUUUUGUCCGGAAAGAAAUCCUUGGCCCUAAUACGGUCGGGGGAUGACGGUACCGGAAGAAUAAGCACCGGCUAACUACGUG